GAGGGAAUAGCUCAAUGGUAGAGCCCAUGCUUAGUUAGCAUGCACAAGGUCCUGAGUUCAAUCCCCAGUACCUCCU
This 76-nucleotide transfer RNA is filed under the name Camelus dromedarius (Arabian camel). It matches the Rfam family "tRNA". From Rfam's summary of the family: Transfer RNA (tRNA) molecules are approximately 80 nucleotides in length. RNAcentral also lists the same sequence under 1 other name. Lineage: Eukaryota; Metazoa; Chordata; Mammalia; Artiodactyla; Camelidae. The record is from Rfam by way of RNAcentral.